ACGCGGCUGGCUCAGUUGGUAGAGCGUGGGGCUCUUGACCUCGUGUGGUGAGUUCAAGCCCCACACUGGGUG
This 72-nucleotide transfer RNA is filed under the name Mustela putorius furo (domestic ferret). It matches the Rfam family "tRNA". Rfam says of the family: Transfer RNA (tRNA) molecules are approximately 80 nucleotides in length. Their secondary structure includes four short double-helical elements and three loops (D, anti-codon, and T loops). Lineage: Eukaryota; Metazoa; Chordata; Mammalia; Carnivora; Mustelidae. The record is from Rfam by way of RNAcentral.